Molecule: unclassified non-coding RNA, 173 nt
Filed under: soil metagenome
Description: partial contains 5.8S ribosomal RNA, internal transcribed spacer 2, and large subunit ribosomal RNA
Source: RNAcentral
AACGAGGCCGACCUGCGGCUGAGUUACCUGCGGAGGGAUCAUUAAUAAAUGUUACUUCGGUAACUUAAUUAAUCCCUAACACCUGUGCAUCUUGUCGCUUCGGCGUCAUUUUAUAAACAUCAGUGUAAUGAAUGUAACGUAUUAUAACAAAUACAACUUUUAACAACGGAUCU